GAUGAAGAACGUAGCGAAAUGCGAUAAGUAAUGCGAAUUGCAGAAUCCGUGAGUCAUCGAAUCUUUGAACGCACAUUGCGCCCUCUGGUAUUCCGGGGGGCAUGCCUGUUCGAGCGUCAUUACAACCCUCAAGCUCAGCUUGGUGUUGGGCCCCGCCGCCCCGGCGGGCCCUAAAGUCAGUGGCGGUGCCGUCCGGCUCCGAGCGUAGUAAUUCUUCUCGCUCUGGAGGUCCGGUCGUGUGCUCGCCAGCAACCCCCAAUUUUUUUCAGGUUGACCUCGGAUCAGGUAGGGAUACCCGCUGAACUUAAGCAUAUCAAUAAGCGGAGGA
RNAcentral lists this unclassified non-coding RNA (328 nucleotides) under soil metagenome. RNAcentral describes it as "partial contains 5.8S ribosomal RNA, internal transcribed spacer 2, and large subunit ribosomal RNA". The stretch from base 1 to 119 matches the Rfam family "5.8S ribosomal RNA", at positions 35 to 154 of the family's 154-position model. The record is from RNAcentral.